Molecule: ribosomal RNA, 607 nt
Filed under: uncultured bacterium
Lineage: Bacteria
Description: bacterial SSU rRNA
Rfam family: Bacterial small subunit ribosomal RNA
Source: RNAcentral
CUAGCUUGCUAGUUUGUCAGCUAAGUGGCGCACGGGUGAGUAAUAUAUAGUUAAUCUGCCCCAAAGAAGAGAAUAAUUGUUGGAAACGACUUGUAAUGCUCUAUAUGCCUUUAAGACAUAAGUCUGCAAGGGAAAUAUUUAUAGCUUUGGGAUGAGACUGUACGGUAUCAGCUUGUUGGUGAGGUAAUGGCUCACCAAGGCUAUGACAUCUAACUGGUUUGAGAGGAUGAUCAGUCACACUGGAACUGAGACACGGUCCAGACUCCUACGGGAGGCAGCAGUGGGGAAUAUUGCACAAUGGACGAAAGUCUGAUGCAGCAACGCCGCGUGGAGGAUGACACAUUUCGGUGCGUAAACUCCUUUUAUAUGAGAAGAUAAUGACGGUAUCAUAUGAAUAAGCACCGGCUAACUUCGUGCCAGCAGCCGCGGUAAUACGAGGGGUGCAAGCGCUACUCGGAAUCACUGGGCGUAAAGAGCAUGUAGGCGGGUUUGUAAGUUGGAAGUGAAAUCCUAUGGCUCAACCAUAGAACUGCUUCCAAAACUGCUUACCUAGAGUAUGGGAGAGGUAGAUGGAAUUUCUGGUGUAGGGGUAAAAUCCGUAGAGAUC